RNAcentral lists this unclassified non-coding RNA (376 nucleotides) under fungal sp. RNAcentral's name for it is "partial internal transcribed spacer region". The stretch from base 1 to 46 matches the Rfam family "Eukaryotic small subunit ribosomal RNA", at positions 1786 to 1831 of the family's 1831-position model. Lineage: Eukaryota; Fungi. The record is from RNAcentral.
AAGUCGUAACAAGGUUUCCGUAGGUGAACCUGCGGAAGGAUCAUUAACACGUGAAAACGUAUUAAUUUACCUUACACUUCAACCCCCUGCGAAUUCCCUCCCUAUUCAUUUGACACUGUUUUGAUACAAUAUGUAGUAGGAUAUGAUAGUGCAAGCUAUUAUAUGCAAUUGUAUCAUUACUGAGGCUUCGAGCCUAAAAGUGUUUUUUGUUAGGCUUUUUUUUCUAUUUUUCCCCUACUACAAAAAUACCAUACUAACCAAUUUCACCUUUAAUAACCUAUUUUGACUGAUGUACGUUGAUAGUACAGAAAUGUACUGGAUCAACACCAUUUAUCUAAACUAAGCACAACUCUUAGCAAUGGAUAUCUUGGUUCUC